CCGAAGGACAUUAGCUGCCAUUAAGUUUAGUACAACAGUGCCGGGUGCCAAAGGACAUUAGCUGACAUUAAGUUUAGUACAACAGCAGGAGCAUGAGAGCAAAAGCCUAAGACACAAUUCUCAAGGAAGGAUAUGAUUCAGUAAAAUGUAAGAAUGUCCAAUAUAGUGGUUCAUAUGCAUAGAGUGGGUCAUACGAUCAUGAUGCAUGAUAUAGCAAAAGAUAUCUUGCGUCAACACAUCUUGCCCGCUUGUUCACAGUUUUGCCUCAGCCAUGGCCUUCUUGAUGUCGUCUUCUCCUGAUAGCAGCAAGGCAUUAGCAAUUAGAAGCCAGGGAGUGAGCAUGACUGGAAAAGCAAUACAUGCGAUUCCAAUUCCUUUUCAGGUAGGAUAUGGUGCAAUAUUUACAUAGACCAUAUCCAGAUCAUAGUAGUGCAUAGUUCCUUAUAAGUUGUACAAAACAAACAGCAGCACACUACAGAAGAUAGGAAUGCGCAAUGAGACCUUUAGCUAGGUCUGAUAGCUUGGUUUUUAAGUUACUUUGAGGCAAAAGACAUCUGGUUCUUCACCUCAAAAUGAUUUGCAUGUAGGAAUAUCAGAAUAUGAUUCUGAAACCAUGGCACUUGGCUGGUUAGUAUGGUUUGUCAUCACAUUCAGUUGCUUUCAGAAUGGAAAAGGACAAGUAAUAAUUGGAAAGAACCAUAUAUUCUGCCUAUGCCAUAUCAGUGUUUAAUUGGUCGGGCCAUAUAUAAACCUUUUACCACGGGGUGUUCCUUUAUUCUGCUUCAAGAAUAGACAGGAAUGACAUAAAUACGUGCAUAGCACUGUUAACUAAGAAAGGGAAGAUUAAAUUUGGGAGUACACAGGCAAGCCAAGUCAGGUACGAAAUAUAGCAGAUAGCAAAGCAAUGUGAGAAUAGCCGUCAGAGUAUAGUGGCGUACCUUCCAUUCUCAAAGAGUUGAUUGGUUUAUGACGAUGGUUCCAGGAGAAAGCUGCAAUAGAAAAAAAAUAAGAUAUUCUUACAAAGAAGGUCCAAUGGUUUAAGCAGGAUAUGGUAAUAAAUAUACAUGAUAUGUGAACUUUAAAACUAUUGCAGAGAGGUAAAUGCAGAUUUCUAAGGAACAUAUUGUACUAAUUGUUCAGGCAAAGCAAAAAAAUAAAUUAAAUUGGGUCCAUGAUGUAUAGGUGGGUCAAUGCUUCAAGGAUUAUGGCUUGUGGUAGGGCUACCUUCAUAAAAAUGAGACAGAAUGAACAUCGUCAGUGGCGGCCAUACGUGGAGUUGAGACAGAAAUAAAUCAUUGAGAAUAAUUUAUAGUUUCUUUAAAUGGAACUUGUCCAAAUCGCAAUUGUGAUGCAACUACAAUGAGAAGUGGUCGCCGACCAUAUGACAAUGCUAAGAUUCUGUAAAGCAUGCAAUACCAAGCCCAUAAUUCUAUAGAAGUUCAUUUGCAGAAGAUAAAUAUACUUGCAUAGCUACUGCUGGAGAGCAUCAACGGUGGCAUCUUAUUUGCCAACUAUAUUAUUCCUAUUUAUACACAACAUAUUUUGACUACUGCACAAGUUUUCAUACAAGAGUUCUGGAUUAAAUAAAAUAUGGAUCUUACCCAUUAUAUCCUAUAAUAUUUCCAUACAGAGCGAAGGCAGCAAACAUGAAUCCAACAUACCAACUGCAACUCCACAAGGCCUAUCACUGACAAACAAAAUAGCACCUGCAUCAAGAAGACGAC
RNAcentral lists this long non-coding RNA (1724 nucleotides) under Triticum aestivum (bread wheat). Its description in RNAcentral is "long non-coding RNA (TAES_LNC009343)". The record is from RNAcentral. Lineage: Eukaryota; Viridiplantae; Streptophyta; Magnoliopsida; Poales; Poaceae.